This 435-nucleotide ribosomal RNA is filed under the name uncultured bacterium. RNAcentral's name for it is "partial 16S ribosomal RNA". It matches the Rfam family "Bacterial small subunit ribosomal RNA", at positions 29 to 507 of the family's 1533-position model. The record is from RNAcentral.
AGCGAACGCUGGCGGCAGGCUUAACACAUGCAAGUCGAGCGGGCACUUUCGGGUGUCCGCGGCGGACGGGUGAGUAACGCGUGGGAACGUGCCCUCUGGUUCGGAAUAACUCAGGGAAACUUGAGCUAAUACCGGAUGCGCCCUUUUGGGGAAAGGCUUGCUGCCGGAGGAUCGGCCCGCGUCUGAUUAGCUAGUUGGUGAGGUAACGGCUCACCAAGGCGACGAUCAGUAGCUGGUCUGAGAGGAUGAUCAGCCACACUGGGACUGAGACACGGCCCAGACUCCUACGGGAGGCAGCAGUGGGGAAUAUUGGACAAUGGGCGCAAGCCUGAUCCAGCCAUGCCGCGUGAGUGAUGAAGGCCUUAGGGUUGUAAAGCUCUUUUAUCCGGGACGAUAAUGACGGUACCGGAGGAAUAAGCCCCGGCUAACUUCGUG